Long non-coding RNA from Bombus huntii, 2125 nucleotides. RefSeq lists it as uncharacterized. The record is from RefSeq and is a predicted model, not a curated record. NCBI's taxonomy places the organism in Eukaryota, Metazoa, Arthropoda, Insecta, Hymenoptera, Apidae. The transcript has 8 exons.
ACCUCCACGACUUAGAUUAUAGAUUCCUAUACGACUCUCAGUAAAAAUUUAUCCGCACUCCAGAUAGUUAAAACUUCUGUCGACCGUAUUGAUCCAUCUGCACUCUUCGUAUGACGUCAAUAUCUGUUCAGUGCUGCUGCGCAGGUUUCUUUGUGUUACGUCAAUUCGUUUGUGACCGUUGCGCGAGUAAUGGCGCUUUGCAAUGGUGAUUUGCAGGAAAACAGUGCAGGAUGCUGUGAUUCGUUUCUUGUGGUCGGAGGUUAUGUUUGAUGCCUAUAUUUAUCAAAGAUUUAAUGCACAUUAUGGAGAAAGUGUUUUGUCACGAAGUGUGUUUGAAUGGGCACAAAAGUUCAAAGAAGAUCGCACAAGUGUUAUGAAAAAACAGCUGGACGCCCGUCCACAUCCACGAUGACAACAUUGAACGUGCUCAUGAACUUAUGCUCUAUGGAAUAGACGAGUGACACUGGAUAAUGUGGCAAAUCAUUUGCAAAUCAGCCACGGCUCUGCUUAUGCAAUAGUGCACGACAGAUUUGGAUUUUAAAAAGUUUGUGCGAGAUGGAUGCCGAAAAAGCUGAUGAAAAGGUGAAGACGACGAUGCAUUCGUGGUUCGCAGCUCAGCCCAAAACAUUUUUUAAUGAGAAAAUACAAAGGUCCUUCGGCAAAUGGACAAAGUGUAUACAGAAAUCGAGUGAUUAUGUCAAAAAAUGAUGUAUGUCUUUUUUGACAAUUGCUUAAAAUAAAUUCUACACCGACAGAGCGGGCUGUUAAUCUAGAGGCUGGAGUACAAAGAAGUGGCACAAUGAUGUGGGCUGAUGACAUUUAUAAUUAUCAAGGAAUCACCCCUACAUUUGCUCAGAAUUUUAAUGAAACUGUCCCUUGGGAAGGAAGAACUGAUACCUUGAUAUCACGGUUUGUACAUCCUAUAUAUACGACAAAUUUUAGAACAUUAUAUAACGAAGAACCAGAUCGUCGUGGCCAUGUGAUGUGAAUAAAAGGACUUGAAUUUGAUGAUAUUUUUAUAAUGUUAGAUAACAUAACUAAGUAUCUUCACAGUAAGAUAGGAUGACAUGGUUUACAUGAUCUUAAUGUUGUUCACUCGAGUGAUGAUAUUAUAAGGAAAAGCGUAAUAUCACAGGAUAUUUAUGUUUAGUAACCAGUAAUUCAGAGAUUGGUAUUCAUGGUUACUAUAACGAGGCUGUAGAAACGCACCCUUUCUUCUUUGCAAAUGGCCCUGUAUGUAUGUCUAAGCCGAAACUGGAACCUCUGAAUAAUUUAGAUUUAUUCUUGUUAUUUUCUAAAAUACUUAUCUACAGUAUACCAUAAGGAAUGAUACCGUAUCGCACCUAAUCAAGUGCCUUAAGAAACAUCAACAGGAUAUCACAGUAAUCCCUUAUCGACAGAUAUUUGUAGCCACUACAAUAUCUAUGACACUGGUAGUAAUUAUAAGAACAAUAAUGAUGUUCUAUAAGAGGAAAUGAUGAUUAGGAACAAAAACUUACAGGAGAUAUCAUGCGGUGGAUGGAUAAUAUGCAAAAAAUAUUAAGCAGUAUAUGAAUUUUCGUAUUGCGUAGAGAUAACAAAAUGAAUUUUAAAAAAUGUCGACACGGUAAUAAGAAAUAGCAUCAUGACAAAGAAUAUAUAAAGACAGUUUCAUUUUUUAUAAAUAAAAAUUUGUUGUUCCAGAUUUUGAAAUACAGUGAAACGUUUAAUUAGUAUCUUAAUAUCUUUAAAUAAUUAUUAUUUUAGAAUCAAUUGUAAUUGUAUCAUACGUACUUUUGAAUUCGUGCAAGAACAUAUGUAAUUUUGAAGUAGUUAUUAUUAGGAAAUUGUUAGACGCGAACAGUAUGCGAAAAGUUAGUAUGCAGUGUAAUAAUUAUCAAUCAAAACACAAGAAUUAAAUUCUUGAGGAAAAAAUUUCCGGAAUUUCUUAUUUACAUGAUUAUAAAGAAAUCCAUAAUAAAAAGGAGCUGCUUUCUAAUACUUCUCUUCCUUGUAAUGCCUACGUUAACAAUAACGAGGUUCGACUUUUUGUUUUUAGAGGGAUACUGGAAAAUUUGAAAGUACAGUACCAUUGGGAAGAAAAUCACGAUAUUGAAAACGAUAUUUGCAAAUUGAACAAUAUUCC